Molecule: transfer RNA, 73 nt
Filed under: Richelia sp. CSU_2_1
Lineage: Bacteria; Bacillati; Cyanobacteriota; Cyanophyceae; Nostocales; Nostocaceae
Also listed under: 4 other names
Description: tRNA-Arg
Rfam family: tRNA
About the family: Transfer RNA (tRNA) molecules are approximately 80 nucleotides in length. Their secondary structure includes four short double-helical elements and three loops (D, anti-codon, and T loops).
Source: RNAcentral
GGGCUUGUAGCUUAGUGGAUAGAGCGCAUGGCUACGAACCAUGAGGUCGGGGGUUCGACUCCCUCCAAGCCCG